This 465-nucleotide ribosomal RNA is filed under the name uncultured bacterium. RNAcentral describes it as "partial 16S ribosomal RNA". It matches the Rfam family "Bacterial small subunit ribosomal RNA", at positions 28 to 507 of the family's 1533-position model. The record is from RNAcentral.
GACGAACGCUGGCGGCGUGCUUAACACAUGCAAGUCGAACGGAAAGGCCCUGCUUGCAGGGUACUCGAGUGGCGAACGGGUGAGUAACACGUGGGUGAUCUGCCCUGCACUUCGGGAUAAGCCUGGGAAACUGGGUCUAAUACCGGAUAGGAGCCAUUUUUAGUGUGAUGGUUGGAAAGUUUUUUCGGUGUAGGAUGAGCUCGCGGCCUAUCAGCUUGUUGGUGGGGUAAUGGCCUACCAAGGCGGCGACGGGUAGCCGGCCUGAGAGGGUGGACGGCCACAUUGGGACUGAGAAACGGCCCAGACGCCUACGGGAGGCAGCAGGGGGGAAUAUUGCACAAUGGGCGCAAGCCUGAUGCAGCGAAGCCGCGUGGGGGAUGACGGCCUUCGGGUUGGAAACUCCUUUCGCGAGGGAAGAAGCUUUUUGUGAAGGUACCUAGAUAAGAAGCACCGGCUAAAUACGUG